ACGGAGGUUCCCAGCGUUGUUCGGAAUUACUGGGCGUAAAGGGAGCGCAGGCGGAUAGGUCAGUCUAAAGUGGAAUCCCGGGGCUCAACCUCGGACGUGCUUUGGAUACUGCCUGUCUUGAGUUCGUGAGAGGAAAGCGGAAUUCAGGGUGUAGCGGUGAAAUGCUUAGAUAUCCUGAGGAACACCGGUGGCGAAAGCGGCUUUCUGGUACGAAACUGACGCUGAGGCUCGAAAGCGUGGGGAGCGAACGG
This 251-nucleotide ribosomal RNA is filed under the name uncultured prokaryote. RNAcentral's name for it is "partial 16S rRNA". It matches the Rfam family "Bacterial small subunit ribosomal RNA", at positions 525 to 775 of the family's 1533-position model. The record is from RNAcentral.